CCACGUCAGCUCGAUCGGACGGUCCAAAAUCCAAACGCCUGUGAGAGCCCCAUGGGGGUGCAGCAAUCAUACCGUGAGAUGCGGAACGGCAAGCAGGAGCAUUGGAGUAGGGACGAGUUAACCGACAAGCAACGACAACAGGGACAAGCUUAGAAAGAAAUUAGGGCGUGCCUUUCGUUGGAUACAGAGCAAGCCAGGGCACAGGCAAAGAUACAGUCAUCCUACUUUUUUCUGUCACUCUAUAUAUCUCCUGAGGAUUUAGUGGUAUGUUGUAAUAUGCAGAUUUAGUAAUUUAGGUUGUCUACAGAUUCCUAACAAACAGAUUAUCUGGAUGAGAAGCUUGCAUUAUAUAGCUGAAAAUCAUUGGCUUUUCAACGAUCCAUGUCUGGCGUCUUGACCAGAGGGCGGCAGCAGUAGGUAACGACACGUCGCUUGGCGAUAGGAAACUCCAUCCUCAAGCCAAGCGGUGGGCGCAGCAGGGGAGCUCGACGAGGUCUGACAUACUACCGUUAUGGAUGCCGAGGCCUGUUGUUUUCCCGUAUGAUGACGUCUGAUGAGUCGCCGUACAGGGCUACAUGCUACUGCAACUGCCGCUAGACAGAGAAGAUCGAUGAACUGGUGUCUUCGAAGCAGUGGUAUUAUGGUAAGAUCGUUACUUGCUUAGUUGAGAGAAGCUCAGAUGAAGAAGAUCCUUGAAACGUGAUGACUGCUUUUAUACACCGCUACCACCCUUCCAGCUCCAAUGCGUGCCAGACAAGAGCCGGAAACACCUCCUACGUCCAAUUUCGCUUCUCAAGCAGAAGUUGAUGCUCAUGAAUAUUGGUUGAUUCAGCUGAUUUGUCCAAUGGCAUCAGCGUUCGGGCUGAGCAACAUUGCCAUGGUAGCACGGAUGAACAUCAGUACAUCACGACAGGAUUUGAGCUUCUUCUUAUUAUACACUGCCUACGGAUGCACAUCACAACAGAUAAACUCCUAAAUGAAGCUUUGUGUGGUAAAUAAUUGUUCGCCGAUAUCCUUCAUGUUUUCACUUCAAUUUCAUUUGUAAAGGUUUUGAGCUUCAUGAGAACACAUCAGAGAUGGGAUAGAGAUAGAGGAGAGAGGGACCAUAAUAUCUUUAGGCAAUUUAUUUAUGUUUUCAUCAUGGCACUUUCCUUUAGGCAAUUUAUGUUUUCAUCCUUGCACUUUCUGUUAUAUAGAGGUGCUUUACUUCCAGCAUUUACUCUCAGGCUUAUAUUAUGCUUGCAUUCGGUUAGCCUUUUUUUUUGACACAGUUGUGUACGGUUAGCUGAAUUUCAGCCUGCUGUUUAUCUGAAUAUUAACAUGGUAAACAACUCGUGUUUGGACUCACGAUAUAUCACAUCGGUUAUGGGUUAUUACAUUGGUGUCAUAAUUGAUGGUUCAGAUGGGUAUUUUAAGCUAAAUGUUUACAUGUGAAGGAUGUGGGUAUGUCUAUAUCUCCACAUUUUAGUGCAAUAUCAAGAUUAAGUAAUGUCGUGAGCACAAUAUAAUUAUUCUCUAUAUGAAAGCUUCAGUGGCCCGCGAGCUCAUUUUUCCUCACCUUAAAUUUAUUAUGUUCGUCGUGAAUAGGAGAAAACGUGAUCACCAUUGACAAUGGUGACAUAGAGGAGAUGGUGUCAACAUGAAAAGUUUGUUAGAGCGUUUGACUAUUUAUUUCUCCCGGUGCAACGCACGGGCACUUUUGCUAGUUUACAAUAAUUUGCUAUGUUCCAAAUCUCAUGCGCACAUAUAGAUGAACGGAUUUGUAAAGUAAGAGAAAGUUCUGCGUCAUCUAGAAAUGAACACUUGUUCGGGCAGCAGAGGAGGUCACGCACAAAACUUAUAGUUCUCUAAAAAUUCCACAAGGAGAACCAAUCCAUAGAUGUCCAAAAUUAUAUCAACACAGUUACUGUUUCUUUCUUUUUGUCUAUCAUCAAGAAUGCUGUGUACAAUCAACGUGGACAACAAAUCGACACCUAUUUGUAAAAUGGAAUAAUUUAUAUACUUUUGAAAUUUGUAACUACAACACACAACUCGAUCAAUGGAACCAUGUCUAUUGUUUAGUGGAUGGUGGAGGCUCAUCAUGUUGUUUCCCUUUAUGCAACGCACAUCAUCCCGGGAAACAAAAUUUCUGAAGGUUAUUAGCUAGUACUACUCCGUAUAUAAUUUAGACGCGAACAAGCGAGACAAUUACCGUCCUUGAUCGGCAGAACCAAAGUGCACUUUCCAUGAAGACGACCAUGCACUUUCCAUGAAGAUCGGCAGAAGAACUAUGGUGAGUACGCCAACAUGGAGAUGAACCGGAACGAGGGCGUCCUCUCUCACCGUUGGAAUUUGAUCAAGGUGGCGUGUAGCAAGUUCCAUGGCUACUAUGUUGGCCCAAACUUUAUAUUCGAAAACCGAUUCGAAUUUGGUGGCUGUGUGUUGGCUCAAACUUUAAAUUCGUAAACUUAUUCAAAUUUCUAUGCUUUUAUUCGAAUUUUCAAAUUCAAAUCAUCUAUUGGGGCCAUCGUAUGGGGCGCCGGUUUGGGAGCAGCUCCCCUAAAUGGAGGAUGCUGUGCCGGCGCCCCUACCGAUGACUAUUUGAAGGGCGCCGGUGGAGAUGCUCUAACUAGGCCAAAUCCACACUCGAAAUCCUUCAGCGCUCUCGGUAGCGUUCGCGCUACCGAGCAGUUUCCCCUCAGACGGCCUUCAGCGAUCCACCCAUAGUGUAGGCCCGGCCUGGGCCAGACUUUCGGCCACGUUACGAGGCUGCCGCCGCUCCCGUGCUUCCGCACCGCAACGAGCGGCCUAUAGGUUUGGGAGGUGCUUUCUGCUGACCUGGUCGGCGGAAACCAGCCACCGCACCCCCACCGGCACGCAGCAGUUUCAUGGGCCGCGGCCCAUCAGGUACACCUUUUCUUUCCUUUGUUUUAUUUUUGCAUUUUUAAAUCUCAACGUUUUUUGGAAAACCAAAAUAAUUUUUGAGGUUUCUUAAAAAAUAUUUGAACGUUUUUCGAAUCUGAACAAAUUCAAAAUGUAAACAUUGUUCAAACUAUAGAUAAUCUUAAAUCCCGAUUUUUUAAAAUUUGAACAAAUUUGAAAACUGAACAAAUUUCAGAUUUUGAACAGAUUUUGAAAUUUAACGAAUUUCUAAAUUUGAACGAAUAUCAAAUUUUCCCAAAAUUUGAACAUUUUCCAAAAAUGAUCAUAUUUAAAUUUGAACAUUUUUCGAUUAUGAACAUUUUUCGGAUACGAACAAUUUUUAGCUUUGAACAUUUUUUGUUUUGAACACUUUUCAAAUUUGAAAAGUUUUUCGAAUUUAAACUAUUUUCAAAAUUUCAAAUUUUCGAUUUUGAACAAAAAGAAAAAUAAACAGAAAAGAAAAGGAAAUAAAAAAGAAAACAGAAAAAAGAAAAAACAUAAAAAGAAAACGAAAAACAGAAAAACAGAAAAAAGUAAAAAUGGGCCAGGCCUAAUACCCGACCAGGGUGUGCGGUGUCUGGUAGGCACCGAUCUGGUCGGUGUAUAGGAUUUCCGCGGAUCCUAUUGAUCACUCAUUGUGGCGCCUAUCUGGGUCGCCGCAUAGGGGAGGGAUUCGUUGGGCCGGCCCAUCAACAGUAAUAUGGGCGUUUUUGAAAGUGCAUGGAGCCCCCAUGUGUGGUUUUGGUAAUUAAUGACAAUCCCUAUGGACUAAUGUUUGCAUUGAGUUAUAUUUGUAGGAGUUGUCCAUAGGCAAUGCUUGAACCAUAUGUUGGCUUCAAGGUUGCAUUAAGAAGAAAUUGAUGAAGGAUAUCAAGUAUCAAGUAUGUCUUGAAGAUGAAGAUGAAGUGAGCCCUCAAAGUUAACUUCAAGACAUCAACAUGAUGAAGAAUGAAGAAAUGAAGUGCAAGUUCAAGAUGAGCCAUCUCUAAUAGAUCAUUUGCUUGAAGCUUGCCAUCCAUAUGGUGAUCAUGGAUAUGUGAAGAUGUGCCGAAGAAGAAGCUCUCCCAUGGUGGAUUAUGGGGGAGCAAUCCACAAGACUUCAUCAAGCAAGCACAAUGAAGAAAGGCGUUCCAUCUUGUUGUGAUCAAGAUCGUCUUCAUCAAGCUCAAGAGGAACGCGCAAGGUUAAGGUUUGCUCUUGAUAGGGUUUCUUUCUUACCGGUCUCAUGGUGUAGUUGGAGACCGGUUUAUAGUUUAGUUGUCGUACUAUCAAGAGGGCUCUCGAGUGAGUAACUCGAUCGCAUCGUUCGGAGAGAGCUCAAACCUUUGCAUCCUUGCAUCAUAUUUCUUGGUUGUUAUUUGGAUCUUAUCCAUGUGGUGAUUUAGAGCUUGUGGUUAUUUCCAUAGCAAGCUCUAGUUCAUCGAAAACGGAUUCCGCAUGAAUCACUUGUUGCGUUUU
Lolium perenne is the source of this 4359-nucleotide long non-coding RNA. RefSeq lists it as uncharacterized. The record is from RefSeq and is a predicted model, not a curated record. Lineage: Eukaryota; Viridiplantae; Streptophyta; Magnoliopsida; Poales; Poaceae.